Cricetulus griseus (Chinese hamster) is the source of this 129-nucleotide small nucleolar RNA. Its record names the gene SNORA70. It matches the Rfam family "Small nucleolar RNA SNORA70". From Rfam's summary of the family: snoRNA U70 seems to be exclusive to mammals and is a member of the H/ACA class of snoRNA which contain H (ANANNA) and ACA box motifs. H/ACA box snoRNAs are involved in the conversion of uridines to pseudouridines (5-ribosyluracil) a constituent of structural RNAs (transfer, ribosomal, small nuclear, and small nucleolar). The record is from Ensembl. NCBI's taxonomy places the organism in Eukaryota, Metazoa, Chordata, Mammalia, Rodentia, Cricetidae.
UCAAAACAAAAUAAGGUGAUAAGGUGUUCCUCCUAGGGACCUAAUAUGCAGUGGCUAUAAACAUCAGCAACCUUGGUGUAUUUGGCCUCUUUCUUAUAUGAGUUUCCCUAAGGAAACUUGAAGACAAUU